UAACAAAGAGCCAGAGAAAUCCGGAUCAUAGACAUGAGAGAAGGAUCUGAAAAUUCUGAGAUCAGCUAAUUUUGUAUUGGAUCUGUGUGUUGCACCUGGUAGUUAGGUGCAACAUGCAAGUAGGAUACCACUAUACAGAGGAAAAUAGACUAGACGAUGAUAGAACUACCAAGCAGUUGUCUACACAAGCAUUUGAUAGUUUUUAUCAUCGUCCUGUCGAUUUUUCUUUACCGCUACUUACAUUCGACCGGCCGACUAACUUGCUGAUUAGGGACUCUUGUUGUGACCAAGUUUACUCUAUCUGCCAGCUAUAAGGAAAAAUGUUAGUGCUUCAACUGAUAAGGAGGUUCAUCACAUAAAGGGACGAAGAGAAAGAGUUUGUGAAUAUUAAUAAAGCAAACGACACUUGGAUUUUUGCUGCAUUUUUUGGUACAUAUAUACUGGGAUCAUGUUCGCCGCUCCUGUAUAUAAUCUAUCUACACAUCAUUUUGCACGUCUACUACAGUGUUUUUUUCAAGGCUUUUUGUGAUGGUCGAAACUGAUUCAACCUUUAUUACUUGCGUUUUUAUAUAAUUUACCUCUGAAGGGGGUAAAACUAGACUUUAUG
This is a long non-coding RNA of Papaver somniferum (opium poppy), 607 nucleotides long. RefSeq lists it as uncharacterized. NCBI's taxonomy places the organism in Eukaryota, Viridiplantae, Streptophyta, Magnoliopsida, Ranunculales, Papaveraceae. The record is from RefSeq and is a predicted model, not a curated record. The transcript is spliced from 3 exons.